RNAcentral lists this ribosomal RNA (482 nucleotides) under uncultured bacterium. Its description in RNAcentral is "partial 16S ribosomal RNA". It matches the Rfam family "Bacterial small subunit ribosomal RNA", at positions 28 to 507 of the family's 1533-position model. The record is from RNAcentral.
GACGAACGCUGGCGGCGUGCUUAACACAUGCAAGUCGAACGCUGAAGCUCAGCUUGCUGGGUGGAUGAGUGGCGAACGGGUGAGUAACACGUGAGUAACCUGCCCUCUUCUUUGGGAUAGCGCCCGGAAACGGGUGCUAAUACUGGAUAUUCACUGAUUCUCGCAUGGGGGUUGGUGGAAAGGUUUUUUCUGGUGGGGGAUGGGCUCGCGGCCUAUCAGCUUGUUGGUGGGGUGAUGGCCUACCAAGGCUUUGACGGGUAGCCGGCCUGAGAGGGUGACCGGUCACAUUGGGACUGAGAUACGGCCCAGACUCCUACGGGAGGCAGCAGUGGGGAAUAUUGCACAAUGGGCGAAAGCCUGAUGCAGCGACGCCGCGUGAGGGAUGGAGGCCUUCGGGUUGUAAACCUCUUUCGCUCAUGGUCAAGCCGCAGCUUUGGGUUGUGGUGAGGGUAGUGGGUAAAGAAGCGCCGGCUAACUACGUG